AUACUUACCUGGCAGGGGAGAUAGUCACAAAGGUGGUUUUCCCUGGGGGAGGCUUAUUAUCCAUUGCACCCCGGAUGUGUGGACCCCUGUGAUUUCCCCAAAUGUGGGGGACUCGACUGCAUAAUUUGUGGUAGUGGGGGACUGUGUUUGCGCUCUCCCGUG
Molecule: small nuclear RNA, 162 nt
Organism: Pteronotus mesoamericanus
Lineage: Eukaryota; Metazoa; Chordata; Mammalia; Chiroptera; Mormoopidae
Product: U1 spliceosomal RNA
Exons: 1
Source: RefSeq, a predicted model, not a curated record